Molecule: ribosomal RNA, 254 nt
Filed under: uncultured bacterium
Lineage: Bacteria
Description: partial 16S ribosomal RNA
Rfam family: Bacterial small subunit ribosomal RNA
Source: RNAcentral
UACGUAGGGUGCGAGCGUUAAUCGGAAUUACUGGGCGUAAAGCGUGCGCAGGCGGUGAUGUAAGACAGGUGUGAAAUCCCCGGGCUUAACCUGGGAACUGCAUUUGUGACUGCAUAGCUAGAGUACGGUAGAGGGGGAUGGAAUUCCGCGUGUAGCAGUGAAAUGCGUAGAUAUGCGGAGGAACACCGAUGGCGAAGGCAAUCCCCUGGACCUGUACUGACGCUCAUGCACGAAAGGCGUGGGGAGCAAACAGG